RNAcentral lists this ribosomal RNA (307 nucleotides) under uncultured bacterium. RNAcentral's name for it is "bacterial SSU rRNA". It matches the Rfam family "Bacterial small subunit ribosomal RNA", at positions 8 to 334 of the family's 1533-position model. The record is from RNAcentral.
AGAGUUUGAUUAUGGCUCAGGAUGAACGCUGGCGGCGUGCCUAAUACAUGCAAGUCGAGCGAACCACUUCGGUGGUGAGCGGCGAACGGGUGAGUAACACGUAGGUGAUCUGCCCAUCAGACGGGGACAACGAUUGGAAACGAUCGCUAAUACCGGAUAGGACGAAAGUUUAAAGGUGCUUCUGGCACCGCUGAUGGAUGAGCCUGCGGCGCAUUAGCUAGUUGGUAGGGUAAAGGCCUACCAAGGCGACGAUGCGUAGCCGACCUGAGAGGGUGAACGGCCACACUGGGACUGAGACACGGCCCAG